ACCCUCCAAAAUUUUUCAGUGAUUAUAGAAUGUAGUAAGGGUAUUUUUGCAUCGGUGAUUAAUAUGCUUGUUCGUUAUGUAAUUGGUGACUUGGCAUUAUUGCUUGUUCUUUUUUAAUUGACCAGAUACUCACGAAACUCUCACUUGUAGUGAAUCUACAACUGCCGGCACGCUGGUGGCCUAAGCUUGAGAAGAUGACUUGAAUCUAUUGGAAUAGUAGAGAAUUAAAAAGUUGCCUUAGGAAUGGCAAGUUUAUUUUCUAGUAGUUUGGGAAAUGGAUUUUAUGUUAAACCGAAUUUUGUAAUAUGAUUCUAUUGUGAUACUUGACAGUGGAUUACAUUUUGGUAUAAUGUUUUGCAUUUUCUAAAUUUGACUAAAUUCCAGCAAGCAGGGGUUGACUUCUUGUUUAUUUUCUUGCAUAUUUUAUAUUUGCCUAUGAUGCU
This 443-nucleotide long non-coding RNA is filed under the name Coffea arabica (coffee). RNAcentral's name for it is "long non-coding RNA (CARA_LNC002842)". The record is from RNAcentral. Lineage: Eukaryota; Viridiplantae; Streptophyta; Magnoliopsida; Gentianales; Rubiaceae.